GUUUAAACUUUUAUGCGUACCCAAAAACUGCUAGAAAAAUGUGUUCUUGCAGAAACAAAGAAGAGCGCCCAGCAACUGAACUCCAUCAUGUGUUGUAGUGACAGAGUGCAGCUCUCCCAGCAGGGGGCGCUCUGCUAUGGAUCAGUGUGAGGACACAGAGGAGGGAGUCCCUCCCUCUAAAACCUCUCUGUGAGGAACAUGAAGCUCUGAGGAUGCAGGAACAGAGACCAGACUCUCCUGGACCCAGCUGUGUGUCCAUGAAGAGUGACGGGUCUAUGGGUCGCCCUGUUGACUUAAAGAUGGACGUCCUGCUGAUGGAAGGAUGCAGGAACAGAGACCAGACUCUCCUGGACCCAGCU
Labrus bergylta (ballan wrasse) is the source of this 359-nucleotide non-coding RNA. NCBI's taxonomy places the organism in Eukaryota, Metazoa, Chordata, Actinopteri, Labriformes, Labridae. The record is from RefSeq and is a predicted model, not a curated record.